GACGAACGCUGGCGGCGUGCUUAACACAUGCAAGUCGAACGGAAGGGCGCUGCUUUUGUUGGGUGCUCGAGUGGCGAACGGGGGAGUAACACGUGAGUAACCUGCCCUUGACUUUGGGAUAACUUCAGGAAACUGGGGCUAAUACCGGAUAGGAGCUCCUGCUGCAUGGUGGGGGUUGGAAAGUUUCGGCGGUUGGGGAUGGAUUCGCGGCUUAUCAGCUUGUUGGUGGGGUAGUGGCUUACCAAGGCUUUGACGGGUAGCCGGCCUGAGAGGGUGACCGGCCACAUUGGGACUGAGAUACGGACCAGACUCCUACGGGAGGCAGUAGUGGGGAAUAUUGCACAACGGGCGGAAGCCUGAUGCAGCAACGCCGCGUGCGGGAUGACGGCCUUCGGGUUGUAAACCGCUUUCGCCUGUGACGAAGCGUGAGUGACGGUAAUGGGUAAAGAAGCACCGGCUAACUACGUG
RNAcentral lists this ribosomal RNA (468 nucleotides) under uncultured bacterium. RNAcentral's name for it is "partial 16S ribosomal RNA". It matches the Rfam family "Bacterial small subunit ribosomal RNA", at positions 28 to 507 of the family's 1533-position model. The record is from RNAcentral.